Molecule: ribosomal RNA, 469 nt
Filed under: uncultured organism
Description: partial 16S ribosomal RNA
Rfam family: Bacterial small subunit ribosomal RNA
Source: RNAcentral
ACUCCUGCGGGAGGCAGCAGUGAGGAAUAUUGGACAAUGGGUGGAAGCCUGAUCCAGCCAUCCCGCGUGCAGGAAGACGGCCCUAUGGGUUGUAAACUGCUUUUAUCUGGGGAUAAACCUACUUACGUGUAAGUAGCUGAAGGUACCAGAAGAAUAAGCACCGGCUAACUCCGUGCCAGCAGCCGCGGUAAUACGGAGGGUGCAAGCGUUAUCCGGAUUUAUUGGGUUUAAAGGGUCCGUAGGCGGACUGAUAAGUCAGUGGUGAAAUCCGACAGCUUAACUGUCGAACUGCCAUUGAUACUGUUAGUCUUGAGUAAGGUUGAAGUGGCUGGAAUAAGUAGUGUAGCGGUGAAAUGCAUAGAUAUUACUUAGAACACCAAUUGCGAAGGCAGGUCACUAAGUCUUAACUGACGCUGAUGGACGAAAGCGUGGGGAGCGAACAGGAUUAGAAACCCGUGUAGUCCCAUGA